UGGGGAAUAUUGGACAAUGGGCGGAAGCCUGAUCCAGCAACGCCGCGUGAGGGAUGACGGCCUUCGGGUUGUAAACCUCUUUCACUACCGACGAAGUUCACACGUGGUGUGGGUGACGGUAGGUGGGGAAGAAGCACCGGCCAACUACGUGCCAGCAGCCGCGGUAAUACGUAGGGUGCGAGCGUUGUCCGGAAUUAUUGGGCGUAAAGGGCUCGUAGGCGGUUUGUCGCGUCGGGAGUGAAAUCCACUGGCUUAACUGGUGGCUUGCUUUCGAUACGGGCAGACUGGAGGUAUGCAGGGGAGAACGGAAUUCCUGGUGUAGCGGUGAAAUGCGCAGAUAUCAGGAGGAACACCGGUGGCGAAGGCGGUUCUCUGGGCAUGUCCUGACGCUGAGGAGCGAAAGUGUGGGGAGCGAACA
RNAcentral lists this ribosomal RNA (418 nucleotides) under uncultured Nocardioides sp. RNAcentral describes it as "bacterial SSU rRNA". It matches the Rfam family "Bacterial small subunit ribosomal RNA", at positions 355 to 774 of the family's 1533-position model. Lineage: Bacteria; Bacillati; Actinomycetota; Actinomycetes; Propionibacteriales; Nocardioidaceae. The record is from RNAcentral.